RNAcentral lists this ribosomal RNA (506 nucleotides) under uncultured bacterium. RNAcentral's name for it is "partial 16S ribosomal RNA". It matches the Rfam family "Bacterial small subunit ribosomal RNA", at positions 29 to 523 of the family's 1533-position model. The record is from RNAcentral.
AGUGAACGCUGGCGGUAGGCCUAACACAUGCAAGUCGAACGGCAGCACAGGAGAGCUUGCUCUCUGGGUGGCGAGUGGCGGACGGGUGAGGAAUACAUCGGAAUCUACUCUGUCGUGGGGGAUAACGUAGGGAAACUUACGCUAAUACCGCAUACGACCUACGGGUGAAAGCAGGGGACCUUCGGGCCUUGCGCGAUUGAAUGAGCCGAUGUCGGAUUAGCUAGUUGGCGGGGUAAAGGCACACCAAGGCGACGAUCCGUAGCUGGUCUGGGAGGAUUAUCACCCACACUGGGACUGAGACACGUCCCAGACUCCUACGGGAGGCAGCAGUGGGGAAUAUUGGACAAUGGGCGCAAGCCUGAUCCAGCCAUACCGCGUGGGUGAAGAAGGCCUUCGGGUUGUAAAGCCCUUUUGUUGGGAAAGAAAUCCAGCUGGCUAAUACCCGGUUGGGAUGACGGUACCCAAAGAAUAAGCACCGGCUAACUUCGUGCCAGCCGCCGCCGUAA